RNAcentral lists this ribosomal RNA (523 nucleotides) under uncultured bacterium. RNAcentral describes it as "bacterial SSU rRNA". It matches the Rfam family "Bacterial small subunit ribosomal RNA", at positions 24 to 518 of the family's 1533-position model. The record is from RNAcentral.
UCAGGACGAACGCUGGCGGCGUGCCUAAUACAUGCAAGUCGAACGGUCUUUCUAUGGAAGCUUGCUUCCACUGAGAAGAUAGUGGCGAACGGGUGAGUAACACGUGGGUAACCUGCCCAUAAGAGGGGGGAUAACAUCCGGAAACGGGUGCUAAUACCGCAUAGUUUUCUUGAUCGCAUGAUCGGGAAAGGAAAGACGGCCUUUGUGCUGUCGCUUAUGGAUGGACCCGCGGCGUAUUAGUUAGUUGGUGAGGUAACGGCUCACCAAGACGAUGAUACGUAGCCGACCUGAGAGGGUGAUCGGCCACAUUGGGACUGAGACACGGCCCAAACUCCUACGGGAGGCAGCAGUAGGGAAUCUUCCGCAAUGGACGAAAGUCUGACGGAGCAACGCCGCGUGAGUGAAGAAAAGGUUUUCGGAUCGUAAAACUCUGUUGUCAGAGAAGAACAAGUUGGAGAGUAACUGCUCCAGCCUUGACGGUAUCUGACCAGAAAGCCACGGCUAACUACGUGCCAGCCGCCGC